RNAcentral lists this ribosomal RNA (224 nucleotides) under uncultured archaeon. RNAcentral describes it as "partial 16S ribosomal RNA". It matches the Rfam family "Archaeal small subunit ribosomal RNA", at positions 1116 to 1339 of the family's 1478-position model. The record is from RNAcentral.
AAGUCAGAGGAAGGGGUGGUCGACGGUAGGUCAGUAUGCCCCGAAUAUCCCGGGCUACACGCGGGCUACAAUGGACUGGACAAUGGGUAACGACACCGAAAGGUGAGGUCAAUCUCUUAAACCAGUUCUUAGUCCGGAUUGAGGGCUGUAACUCGCCCUCAUGAAGAUGGAAUCCGUAGUAAUCGCAUUUCAAAACAGUGCGGUGAAUACGUCCCUGCUCCUUG